UUAUGGCCAUCACUUUAUCGCUUCGAUCACUAUUGAAUAGUGAUAAGUUGAUGUGAUCUAAUUUUAAUAGCUGGUAUCGAUAAUGUCAGAUCAUCCUGGAGCAUGAGCGGAUCUUGUACAUGCUGACAGAUCUAGCACUGGAAAGCCUGCUCCGAACACCUAUGGCAGCCAUGAACGAUGAGUUCAGCCACAAGUUCGAGGAUGCUUAGCCAAAAGAGAUGUUGUAAGUGUUAAAUGAAUCCUUCGGUACUCUCGAUAAUGUUAAGUGGCACAAGACUAGUUGUGCCAUUUUCAAUACUCAAAUGAGAGAGGAAGCAUCGAUCAUCGAUCAUGUAUUGCACAUAAUUGAGCACAUCGAACACCUGAGCAAGUUUGAUUUUUUUCUGCA
Non-coding RNA from Elaeis guineensis (African oil palm), 388 nucleotides. NCBI's taxonomy places the organism in Eukaryota, Viridiplantae, Streptophyta, Magnoliopsida, Arecales, Arecaceae. The record is from RefSeq and is a predicted model, not a curated record.